GGGUUAGUUAGGGUUAGAGUUAGGGUUAGAGUUAGAGUUAGGGUUAGUUAGGGUUAGAGUUAGGGUUACUAUUGAGCCACUAUAAACCAGUAAAGGCUUGGGGUUAGAGUUAGAGUUAGGUUUAAGGCCAGACUGGACUGUAGAGCCACUAUAAAUCAGUAAAGGGUUGGGGUUAGGUUUAAGGCCAGACUGGACUAUAGAGCCACUAUAAACCAGUAAAGGGUUGGGGUUAGGUUUAAGGCCAGACUGGACUAUAGAGCCACUAUAAACCAGUAAAGGGUUGGGGUUAGAGUUAGAGUUAGGUUUAAGGCCAGACUGGACUAUAGAGCCACUAUAAACCAGUAAAGGGUUGGGGUUAGGUUUAAGGCCAGACUGGACUAUAGAGCCACUAUAAACCAGUGAAACAUCCUGUCCUCUAACUGGGUGCCCUGCUGGCUCUGUGAAAGGUCCUAGUGUGGCUCUGAAUUCCUUCUCCACUCAUCCCUCUCAUCCCAUGCUGACUUCCUUUCUUUAGACUGCUUUGAUGUCCGAGUCUCACCAAUAGAACAUGCCUCAUUCUGUCUGUCUGUCUUUCUGACUGUCUGUCCGCCUGUGUUUGUCUGUCUGGAGAAUGCAGCCAUACAUAUCUCACUGCAGUUUCUUCAUAAUUCUACUACCUCUCGAUGUGAAAGUAUACAGUGAGUUGUAUGUUACAAUGAACUCUCACUCUGCAAGAAAUGCUUCAGUCUAGGUUCCAGUUAGAAGCUACAGUGUACUGUAUAUGUCAGUGGUUAGAGGAUUUGUUUAGUCCAAUGUGUUGGCGAUUUCAUUUAGGCUUUUCUGGACAUUCUAAUGUUCUGUUUUCUCUAUAUGUGGGAGCCAAUGAGAA
This 868-nucleotide long non-coding RNA is filed under the name Salmo salar (Atlantic salmon). Its description in RNAcentral is "lncRNA (ENSSSAG00000095154.1)". Lineage: Eukaryota; Metazoa; Chordata; Actinopteri; Salmoniformes; Salmonidae. The record is from RNAcentral.